GUCACAUUCAGUCCCCAUUAGACACUUCAUUGAGGCUAAAACUUUAUUUAGCAGAAUUUAUCUUCAGUGUUAAUUCCUACAUUCAUUUUUGUAACUACUGGAAAUCUGUCAUUAAUUCGAAGCUUGAGGUUCUGACUUGUUAUUUUGUAGAGUUGCUGUUUGUUCAAAAACAGUCCAUUUCAGAUUUAAUGAUGGUGAUUCUGUUCUGAGACAUGUGAAGCUAGAGACACCAGCAACCAUAGUCAAUUGUCUUCCAGGGGCGAGAGCAGGCGACAUUUGAGGGAAAUUUAAAACUGCUGGCUAAGUGUAAGGGUAUUCACGUCAGCAGUAAUGACACCCGGUUACGUCAAUCAGAGGUCACUAAUAUUAAUAUUGAAUCAGUCUGUAACUUUGCCAAAACAAUGUCGGACUCUGUAGUUUUCUCUGGUCUCCUCCCCAAUCAGACCAGCAGUGACAUCUCCUUAAAUUCCUCUGAUUAGUGUCCAAAAAACUAUGUUGACUUUAUAGAUAAUGGGGAAACUUUCUGGGGGAAGCCUGUUCUUGUUCCAUCCCUCAUUUUUAGAAAUCUGGCCAAAUUUAUUAAACCCCCCAAAAUGUGACUAUCCAGAGUUGGGACCAGGAAGCAGAGUGGCAGUCUUACACGUCUAUCUGCAGCUUCUUCCUCCCAUUACCUCCUCAAACCCCAUCCCCUUAGGGACUGUGUCAGCUCCCAAACAGAGAAAAAAUAAACUAAAAAUCCACAAAAAAAAGGACUGAAAUAAAAAAAAAAAUCACAAAGGAAGAACAAUACAGCAUCCACAUUUGAACCAAAGAGUAAAACAGUGAAUUGUGGAUUACUAAACAUCAGGUCUCUCUCUUCCAAGUCUCUCUUAGUACACGAGUUAAUAACUGAUCAACAAAUUGAUCUACUCUGUCCUUACAGAAACCUAGUUACAGCAGGAUGAUUAUGUUAGUUUAAAUGAAUCAACCACCGAGUCAAGUCAAGUCAAGUCAAGUCAACUUUAUUUGUCAAUUCUGCCACAUGUACAGGACAUACACAGAAUAGAAAUUGCGUUACUCUCAAACCCUAGUGAUUAGAAAAAUGCAAAUAAAAUAAUUAAAAAGUAAAAAUUUAAAUAAAUACAAUACAAUUUUACGUAUAACAAAAAAAAGCUAUGCAAUAUACAAUAUACAAUAUUCAAGUAAGUAAGUCAUUCUAACCAUCAGAAACCUCGAAGCACAGGCCGAGGGGGCAGUGUGGCAGCAAUUUUCAACACCAGCCUAUUAAUCAACCAAAGACCAAGAAAGACUUUUUAUUUCACUAGCUUGGCCCACGUCCUCAUUUUAGGUUUAAGAGACAUAAAUCAGGACCUUUCCACAAAUGUUUAUCCAUGUGAUGAUGUCCUCUUGUUUCUUUAAUCUAACUGCUGCACUGACUUCUUUUUGAAUUAAAUGUUUGUCUUUGUAAUCAUUUUUUUGUAUAUUUGUAAUAUUCUUUUUCUGUAUUUCAUGCAUGUAUUUUAAGGCAGGUGGGGAUUAUGUCUCCUCACCCC
Long non-coding RNA from Astatotilapia calliptera (eastern happy), 1532 nucleotides. The record is from Ensembl. NCBI's taxonomy places the organism in Eukaryota, Metazoa, Chordata, Actinopteri, Cichliformes, Cichlidae.